AUUGGGGUGGCAGAGACAGGUACAUGCAUAAGACCUAAACCCUUAGUUCAAAAGUUCAAAUCUUUUCCCUAAUA
RNAcentral lists this transfer RNA (74 nucleotides) under Cyrtopodion scabrum. RNAcentral describes it as "tRNA-Leu". It matches the Rfam family "tRNA". From Rfam's summary of the family: Transfer RNA (tRNA) molecules are approximately 80 nucleotides in length. Their secondary structure includes four short double-helical elements and three loops (D, anti-codon, and T loops). Lineage: Eukaryota; Metazoa; Chordata; Lepidosauria; Squamata; Gekkonidae. The record is from RNAcentral.